UACGUAGGGACCAAGCGUUGUUCGGAUUUACUGGGCGUAAAGGGCGCGUAGGCGGCGCGGUAAGUCACUUGUGAAAUCUCUGGGCUUAACUCGGAACGGUCAGCUGAUACUGCUUUGCUAGAGUGCAGAAGGGGCAAUCGGAAUUCUUGGUGUAGCGGUGAAAUGCGUAGAUAUCAAGAGGAACACCUGAGGUGAAGACGGGUUGCUGGGCUGACACUGACGCUGAGGCACGAAAGCUAGGGGAGCAAACGGG
RNAcentral lists this ribosomal RNA (253 nucleotides) under uncultured bacterium. RNAcentral's name for it is "partial 16S ribosomal RNA". It matches the Rfam family "Bacterial small subunit ribosomal RNA", at positions 524 to 776 of the family's 1533-position model. The record is from RNAcentral.